AGAUGUUCCUGCGUUGCAGUAGGUCCACACUGCCGGGGAGAGGUGGCAAGAGACAAAUCAACUCUAGUGGAAACGGGAAGCGAGUGGGAACAACAGCCUCACAGCAAGACCGGGGCUCAGCAGCCGCGCUCUUGGCCUGCGUUUGGUGGACCGGAAUCCGGGUUGUGUGUUUCAUUUUCUUUUUUGCCAGAAAAUAUCAUUAGGAACUAAACGGCUCUUUUUAAGAGUGUGAAAGUGUUACUCUUGCCAGUCACCAAUGAGGAGGGCGCCAAAAGCUUCCCAGAGCCAGUUCCCACAGCCAGGACUAUUCUCUAAAGCCAGAGGUCGGAAAGUUGAACAGAACGGAAGCAAAUUGCCUGGCAGAGGGAAGAGGCAUCGGGUGCCCAGGGGGUGUAGAGCGGGCGGGGGUGAUUGGAGUGUGAAACGAAUUGGUGGCCAGGGUGCCUUCUCUUGCACUUACACUAGCUGCAGUCCGCAGUUACCCAGAGGUGGUUCAACUGUUAGCUCACUCUGUGCCAGGGACAGCAUGUGGUACUGCUAUCAGCGUGCACAUUUUCAGGACACCAAAGACAAACUGUUCAAAAGAACAUUAGAAGAAAAGAUUCAAUUCGAGUAAAAGUAGAGAUAAGAAAAUCUCCACACAGUAGUAGAAAGUACUUUUUACUUUUGAAUGAUCAUUCAGAAUUGUGGUUUUGUCAUUUUCUGCCAUUCCCUUGACAAAAACUUUAUUUUGCAAUUGACUCAUUGGACUGAAUCUCACUGAGGAUCUGAUGGAAACACACAGCGUUCAAUUGGAAUAAACAGCUUAAACUGUUGUGUGUUUUUUUAAAUGUAGAUCCUCCUAGAAUUUUUGUGGCACUAGAAUUUCUAUAAAGAUUAUGUAUCCCAGAUACCCUUCUACACCACACACACACACACACACACACACACACACACGCACUGCUUUCUCCAAAAUUAUGUCAGAUUUGAAAUCCUAGGGUAUCUUGUCAAAAUGAAUAAGCUCGCUGUCUUUAAAAAGAGGUGGGGGAGGGGAGAUUCAGUGGCAAAGGUGGUCCUGACUCCCCUUGCUUCGCUUCAGCACCUUGGCCAACACUCCUAAACUAGCUUUUGCCAAGACAUUUCAUGGGAUCUUACACAUCUAGGCAGGCAGUUUUGGCUGCUAUUUUGGCAGCAAGAACGCAUGUGCUUUGCAUACUAUCCCAUCAGUUAACUCUUGAAGGGAAACAGGAAGGUGAUGAGUUCUCUGAGCUGGCACCUGAACUCGGUGGGAUUCUGUGGGUGUAGAGCAUCCCUUCUGAACCUAAAACCGUGUCAUUGGACUAUGUGGUAGAGACUAAUCUUAGCGUACAUUGAUGCAAUCCCUUAAGACUCUUCAUAUCUGUUGCUUCAAGUUCUCAAAACAUGGUUGUCAAGGGAGAAAAAUGAUAGGAUGUUGGGGAAAAUAUUAUGGAUAUCCGACUUCAGUACAGACUCAUAGAACCGCGGGUGUGUAUUGGAGCAAGCCAUCCUCUAUUGCAAGGUAUUUGAAAGAGACUAGAAACUCCUGCUGAGAAAAAGUAUCUUACUGCUAGAUUUGUAUAUUCCCCUUUCUGAAAUCCCUGUCUUGGGGACACAAAUCCUCCAGGACAUUGCCAAAAGAUUGCCAUAGGGUUUGAAUUCUGCUCUCUCCAAUAAGUUUAGGAGGGAUCCUAAGUAUCUUACAAAGAUGCAUGUGAGAUGACAACAACAAAAUAUAGUAAGGGCAGUGAAAAGUAAUAUUAGCCAGAAAAAAAAAAACAGUAUUAGGAAAGUUAGAUGUAAUCAGAUGCAACUAUCCACCCUCCAUUCUGCCUGCAUCUUGUGAACACACAGCUUUGAUCAUGAUAUAGCCCUGCCAGAAUGCUGCUAAUGUUCUUGAUUAUUGCCCUCAGAGGAUUACAUCUCACUUGGUUUCAGCCUACCUUUCUGGCAUCUAGCUUCACUUUCUAGUAUUCUCUUUCCUCCAACCUUUGCCACACUUCAGCCACUCAAGCUUCUGGGCAUUACCCAAGGAUGCCACUCAGGCCCGUGCCACCAGCUACCCAGAGGACACUUCCUUUUUUCUCUUCUUGUUCGGCUCCUGCUUGCCUUUCAAGACCCAACUAAUUUGCCCCUCUUCUGUUACCCUCUUCUGAGUCCACAGGCAGACUUAGUCUCUUCCUCUUCUGUAUUUCCAUAACACUUCUUGAAUACCUUAAUUAAUUUUUAUUGUAAUUAUUUAGUUAUUAUCUCAUUGCUUCCAGACAGAGAGUUUUAUAAUAGCUUCAUAAAUGAUUCUUGGUUAGAUGGAUGGAUAGAUGUAUAUGCAUAUGUAUGGUUUUUAAAAAAUGUUCUAACCAUAACUUGUCAAUUUUGAAAGGGUAAUGCAUUGCAAAUAUUGUAGUAAAAGGGGAGCAGUAUGGCAUUAUCCUCCUUUUUUUUUAACUGAAGGGCUUUGAAUAUUACCUAGCCUUGGAAACAAGAGCCCAGGCAUUUC
RNAcentral lists this long non-coding RNA (2494 nucleotides) under Homo sapiens (human). Its description in RNAcentral is "HSALNT0309255". Lineage: Eukaryota; Metazoa; Chordata; Mammalia; Primates; Hominidae. The record is from RNAcentral.